Molecule: long non-coding RNA, 545 nt
Organism: Amphiprion ocellaris (clown anemonefish)
Lineage: Eukaryota; Metazoa; Chordata; Actinopteri; Pomacentridae
Source: Ensembl
CUCUGAUGUGAUCAGUGUUGGCUUAUUUAUCGGUGAAGCAGCAGAACAUUUUCCACAGAUAGUUUUUCUGCCUGUUGGUUUGUUUUAACCAGUUUUCUACCUUCGGCUGAUUCUACCAGCAGACACUGAAAGGACUCUUAUAGUUCGAUUGGAGAAUAGGACAGAACGACCAUGUGUGCCGUGCUCUGACUCCAUAACAUCACGUAUCGCCAGGGGGCAGAGGCUGGUGAUGUAAGUGCUUAUGCAACAUCACUGGUCUUGAACAUUCAAGUGAGGGAAGCGACGCUCCAACGCAGCUGGAUGAUAUUCACAAAAAUUCUCCCAUCGAUCCAUAGAUCAGCCCCGCCAUCGCACCGCAUCUUCCUCCUCCUCCUCCUCCUCCUCCUCCUCCUCCUUGAUGCCUGACUUGUGUGGUUUCGUGGCCUGACUGAGGACUCGUUUAACUGCAUUGCCUCUGCGUCUCCUGUCUGUUGGCUCCUCAUCCUCCUCCUGCUGCUGGCAGCCACAGUGUUGUGAGAGAAAGUCCCUUUAUUUGUUCCUGGGGG